Molecule: ribosomal RNA, 506 nt
Filed under: uncultured Ascomycota
Lineage: Eukaryota; Fungi; Ascomycota
Description: eukaryotic LSU rRNA
Rfam family: 5.8S ribosomal RNA (bases 176-329)
Source: RNAcentral
CAUUAACGAUUGUCGGGGCCCUCGGGUCCCAACUCCAACCCUAUGUUUACUUCAAACGUUUGCUUCGGUGGGACGGCGCCUCCGCCGCCGGCCCUCGGGCUGGAGAGCGCCCGCCGAUGGCGGUACCAAACUCUGUUUGCACCUGUGAAGUCUGAGUUAUUUAAGAAUAAAGCAAAACUUUCAACAACGGAUCUCUUGGUUCUGGCAUCGAUGAAGAACGCAGCAAAAUGCGAUAAGUAAUGUGAAUUGCAGAAUUCAGUGAAUCAUCGAAUCUUUGAACGCACAUGGCACCCUCUGGUAUUCCGGGGGGUACGCCUGUCCGAGCGUCAUUUCAAACCUCAAGCCUAGGCUUGCUGUUGGACCUGGUCCCGCGGGACCUGUCUGCAACCGGUCGACGGCACCGUUCGGUCCCCAGGCGUAGCAAUGUGACCGCUUAGGGGCUCGGGACGGGAGUCAGUCCAGCCAGCCCAUUCAGAAGUUUGACCUCGGAUCAGGCGGGGAUACCC